This is a long non-coding RNA of Papaver somniferum (opium poppy), 1282 nucleotides long. RefSeq lists it as uncharacterized. NCBI's taxonomy places the organism in Eukaryota, Viridiplantae, Streptophyta, Magnoliopsida, Ranunculales, Papaveraceae. The transcript is spliced from 5 exons. The record is from RefSeq and is a predicted model, not a curated record.
UUUGAUUCCUCACUUUACGAUCGACGACAACACUGAAACAAUCCUUGGAAAUCUAAUUGCGCAGGAGCAGUAUAGCAGCAGUCGUGAUACACAAUUUUGGAUCACGUCCUAUGUCUGCUUCCUCACCAAUUUGAUACGAACUGGCAAGGAUGCAGAGUAUUUGUCAAGAAGAGAAUCUUGUCUGAUUGUAUUCCAGUUAGAGGGAAGAAGGGAUUCCAUACUUAGCCAUUUCAACUAUCCACUCCCACAUGGCUCAUUCUGGGGCUAAAGGCAUCUUUAAGGAGUUCAAGUGUACCCCUCUUGAUCUUAUUAACAGCACAAAAUAUAAGCUCAGACAUAGCAGAUGUUGUGGUUGAUAAGACUGCAUUUGCUGGAGAUCUCCAAUCAGUGUCAUGGUCGGCAAUGGCCUCGAGAGGAAUAUGUGGUAGUUUUGCUUGGCGGAUACGCCUUAACCAAGUUACAGAUGGGUAGAAUUUUGCUUCUUUUCUCUGUACUUCCAGCCAUCCAACUUUUAUCGUGUGGCUUGGUCGAAGAAAAUAAUUUAUGAAAUAAAGCACCUCUAGAACUUGCAAACUCUAUAAGCUCCCAUCUUGGUGAUCAAAAUGGUUUGGUUCCCGAAAAGGAUGUUUCCAAGGAGGUGCCAUCAAAUAACAAUUCUAUGAGAAGAAAAAAGAGUCAGAAGAACAACAAAGCAGCAACAGUCAUCACAAUCAAAUCUGGAGCUGUGGAAAAGAAACGUUCCGUUGUCAUGCAGUGGUUCUACUCUCUGAAAGCAGCUUUCUAUAACCUGUACAAGACAUUUAAGCAGCCCGUUAUCGUCAGACUGCACAAAAACCUAGCUGAUUAAUUUUUGAUGAAAGGCUGGCAAACAACUUUUCUUUAUCCGCAAAUUAUAUUAGAUGGGCGCAACUUGGUCUGGCUACCUUGAGCGUUUUUAGACAUUGGUUUGGUGUCUAGAUAUCACAUUGCGCUCUGCAUAUCAGUAAACUUAUGGUCCUUUGUGGGUUCCUCUAGCUGAUGCUAUCAAUCAAAUCAAGGCAGUUAAGCCCGCGUGGAAUUGAAGGUACUCUAUUCGCCCUAUAAACAACCUGGGUACAACAGUAGGAUCGUUUGUAGGUGCUGGUUCAGCAUCUUUGCUGAACGUAUUGUCAGGUUCCUUCGGUAACCUUUUCAUGGGAAUACGUCAUUCAUCUGCACUUGCAUACCCUUCGUGCUCCUGUUUUGAUACCCAAGGAAGCCUCAGGUUUAGCAGCCCAACUACACUAGUACAGGAGGCAUUUGU